RNAcentral lists this small RNA (954 nucleotides) under Pan troglodytes (chimpanzee). Its description in RNAcentral is "sense intronic". Lineage: Eukaryota; Metazoa; Chordata; Mammalia; Primates; Hominidae. The record is from RNAcentral.
CAGGCACUGAAGUACUUGAUACUAAUUGGAUAUUAUGACCACUUUUCAGCAAUUGUAUUACUGUAAUGGUGGGAUCCAUAAAGGAAAUGGUAAACCUGUCUUAUAUGGGUAGUUGUGUGAAUUGCAAAACUUAUAUCAAAUAAUUUUUUUGCCUCGUCUUUUGAACAAGUCAUGACAUCAUUCUAGUUCCUUUUUCAACUUAGUGAGAUGUCUGCUCUGUGUUAAUAUUAUAAUGUGUAUAAUCUACAACAGAAUUGUCCUCCAAAUUGCAAGUUUUCCUUUUUGAAUCUAAUAUAUCAGGCUCAUUUUUAGAUGACUUAGAUGCAUAAGGAUUUUAUCGUAGCUUGAUGUUAGCUCUCUGUAACCUUUCAGAUAUAUUAAUCAAAAAAGCCAAACUUAAUAAAGCAUCUAACUUAAAAUGGAUUGAUCUCAAAUAUUUUAUAGCCACUAUCUUUUCACAAUAGUAAAACGUAAAAGAGUUUAAGCUAUGCCAAUUUAGAGAGUGCUUAACAAUGUGUAAUUACUUUAUUUUCACUUAAUAGAUUUUUACCUGUGCCUUGUUUCAGAUCUGAAUAGGUUUCCUUUGACCUCAAAAUCACUAAUGCAGGGAAAAUUACCAUAUCAUGAGAGUAUUUUUCCUCUUUCUUUUUUUUUGCCUGAUGCUUAGAAUAAUAAAUACUCCCAAGGCUUAGGAGUAGACAUGGCCUGAGAGAAAGCCUAUUAAAUGCUAUUUUCUAAUGGUUUUAAAAAACAACUUAAACAAAUCAUGCUACUCAAACUGAUUCUCCUGCUAAAACAGAACUAGUUUUAGAGUAUAUUUUAGACAUCUUUUUUUCUCAAUUACUAGUUAAACUUGAAGUUGGGCUCUAUCUGGAUUUGCUUUAUAGAUCUGCUUCAUUUCAUGCCAGAUUUGGGCAAACCAUGAACAACCCCCAACUCCAGAAAAAAAAAAAA